CUAUGCAGUGGAACAGGUGAAUGAGCUAUUGGCGGGAAUCUGCUGCGUUUCGCAUCAUAACGAAGAGACCUGACGGUGCCUGUAUUGUACGUGGCAUGACAACAGAUGGUCUGACGAUAGAGUCUGUCACAGCCAGGAGGAUCUGUAAAACACACCGAGGGUCUGCAACGCUUGGGGCGAGUCCAUUCCGCAGAGCGGUCAGUCGUGUAGCAGUGUAGCCGUCAUUGCAGAAAUGUAAGACGAUAUGUACUCAAUAUUUAGAUCAGGACGGACAAUUACAACGUGUUUAUGUCAGUCUAGUUCCUCCAUGUGGCUCUCAAUCACUUCUUGAUCACAAGAAGGUCGACUUGGACUGGAACCAUUCACAGAGGAACACUAUUGCGCACCCCUAAGGAUGUUGAAAGGAAACACCGAUGUCGAAUCACAUAGCAAUGCCAAUAAAUGGCAUGAAGUAAACAUAAUGGAACUUUCUAUUGAUUUCGGAAAGCAACAUCAAUAGACUGGCUUGUUCUAUGUGUCGUUUUCCAACAUGUUUUUCUAUCUCUACAUUUCCGAUUGUUUCAAAACCUUACGAUAGAAUUUCAGGUUCUGUUAGCAUACAGCAUGAUUGAUUGCGUCAACACAAAUAGGAUUACAAUUCGCCUAGAAAACGUCAAGACAUGCCUAGGUGAUCAAAUCAACAAUAACGUUAUCAAAAAGAUAUUUCUGAUUCUUGCGACUGUCAUCCAGUAACAAAAACAGCUUAAUUAAACUAUUUGAAUAAUUUUGUACGACAAGCUCUUAAGCAUUAGGUACGGUAAAGGCGACAGCUAUAACAAAUGACAACGUCAUCAGAGCAUUGACGUACGUCGGUGAAACAACGCCAAUCGAGGGGACAAAUCAGGGAGACGGAAAACAUUUAAUUGAUAAACUUACCAACAAAAAAAACAUAUGCAUGGAAAACAUGACUAGUGAGUUUGCCCCUUCCAUCACUGAAGAGUCCUGAAAGUGAUGCAACAGCUGUCAGCUGCAGGUUAAUUUAUUAAUAAUGAAUCUUAAUCUAAUUUCAUGUUUAAAAGUAAUUUUACAAACUUUCAAUUUUACAAAUACAAGCGCAAAAUAUUCA
Molecule: long non-coding RNA, 1105 nt
Organism: Ylistrum balloti
Lineage: Eukaryota; Metazoa; Mollusca; Bivalvia; Pectinida; Pectinidae
Exons: 4
Source: RefSeq, a predicted model, not a curated record